GACGAACGCUGGCGGCGUGCUUAACACAUGCAAGUCGAACGGAAAGGCCCUGCUUUUGUGGGGUGCUCUAGUUGCGAACGGGUGAGUAACACGUGAGUAACCUGCCCUUGACAUUGGUAUAACUUCAUGAAACUGGGUCUAAUACCGGAUAGGAUCUCCUGCUGCAUGGUGGGGGUUGGAUAGUUUCGGCGGUUGGGGAUGGACUCGCGGCUUAUCAGCUUGUUGGUGGGGUAGUGGCUUACCAAGGCUGUGACGGGUAGCCGGCCUGCGAGGGUGACCGGCCACACUGGGACUGAGAUACGGCCCAGACUCCUACGGGACGCAGCAGUGGGGAAUAUUGCACAAUGGGCGGAAGCCUGAUGCAGCAACGCCGCGUGCGGGAUGACGGCCUUCGGGUUGUAAACCGCUUUCGCCUGUGACGAAGCGUGAGUGACGGUAAUGGGUAAAGAAGCACCGGCUAACUACGUG
Molecule: ribosomal RNA, 468 nt
Filed under: uncultured bacterium
Lineage: Bacteria
Description: partial 16S ribosomal RNA
Rfam family: Bacterial small subunit ribosomal RNA
Source: RNAcentral